AACAACACACAACAUUCCAGGAAUGUACUACCAAAGUUCUAUCAAUAUUUGAAUGUCCUGGACAUUUAGGGAACAUUCGGUGAACAUCUGAUUAAAUUAUUCCUGGAAUGUUACCAUAAGACAUUCUGUGAACAUACUACCAAUGUUCCUAUAUGUUCAUUUUCAAAUUCACGGCGCAUGUAUUUGUGCAUGGUGCUUAGAGAGGGCAUCACGUGACUAAAAACGACCAAUGACCUCACUUCGGCGCUUCGGCCAUCUUGGCAUGCAUCUUGGCCUUGGCCACCUUGCCGUGCGUGAUCGUUGUUUGUUUUUAUUUGUGCUUUUUAAGAAUAUUUUUUUAAUUCGGAUACUUUUAUAAUAACAACUUUAAUAGUAUUAUUAACAUAGUGCAUAAAAUCAGUUGGAGUAGCAGAAGCAAUGUAGAUAAAAAAUCUGCAGGAUACCGUUUCAAAGGUUAGUAUGCAAAUAUGUAAACAAAGGCAUGCCCCUAUUUCAGAAAAUAUCCAUUUAUUAUUUUAAUAAUUGCGAAUAAGCCACAAACUUGCUUAUUCCUAACUAAAAUAGUAAAUAGAGAUAAUAACAAACGGAUUAUUUGUAACAUUAAUUUUUUUUUGCGUUUUUGCUAAUGUAUGCCUUUAUAAACAGGAUGGUAGACCACACACUAUAAUAGUACCAACUAAUGAAUACACAGUAUGAAUAGUAUAGUCGGUUCGCUAAACUUAAGGCUUGUUUACACGGGUAGAGUUUUGAGGAGAGUAGAGUAGCGAGGAGAGUAGACUCUACUCACUACUCUACCAAAAAUGGCUUGAUCCCAUUCAAACGAGGGGAGUACAAGUAUAGUGCUGAUGCUAGUAUUUUUGUAUUUUUAAACACUCUUGAUUAUAAGUGCACCUUAAAUUCUUAAUUUUUUGCUUGAGCUCGUUUACUCCAAAGCCCCCUUUGCCAUUCUUUCGACGAUUUCAUCCUCCGCAGCUUGCCUCAUACUUUUAUUUCUGUAUUGUACACUAACUAAAUUCCAUAAACAGUGGUAUUCGCCAUACAGCUCUACAAGUUCUAAAAAUUCAUCUUCGGUGAACUUAAUUUUCACUAGUUACACAAAACACAAUUCCAGCCGGAAUGACAGUGACUCUAUGUACUCUCCUACCAUGGUACAAUAAACUCCCCUACCAUGGUGCAAUAAACACUGUAUUUAUUAUAUCAUGCUCUCCUACCUACUCUACUCUACCAGAAUUGAGCGCGUUCCAUGGGUAGAGUGCGCAGGCGAGUGGACAUUUUGGCGGUGGUGGUGGUAGUAGAGUAGAGUUACUUUGCCACAUGUUGCUAGUAACUCUACUUUACCACCUACUAUACACUCUACUUGCUACUCCUCUGUGCCGAGGGUUUCUACGAAUAGAGUUAGGCCGAUGCCACAUUAUGCGUUUUGACCGGAUGCGUUUCCGCCGCAUCCGUUGAAAACGCAUAGUGUGACAGAUCGGUCCGGUUGCGUUGGAAACGGAUGCAUUUUGAGUCAUCGGUACGCGCUUACAAACUGCAAUAGACUAAACGCAUAGUGUGACAGGUCGGUCCGGUUGCGUUGGAAACGGAUGCGUUUUCACCGCAUCCGGUCAAAACGCAUAAUGUGGCAUCGGCCUUACUCUACUCUAUCAAGUACUUGCAUCAUUACUCUACCCGUGUAAACAAGUCUUUAGUCUCAGACACAACUGGCUAGUGAUUUUAGUAAAUAAUUUUGACAAUUUGGUAAAAUUGGCAAAAGAAUAAUAACUAAAUAUUAGUAAUUUUGGCAAAAUUGGCCAAAAACAAAAAAAUUACCUACUUAAAUCACUAGCCAGUUGUGUCUAGGGAAACGACUAUACUAAUAAACAAUUUCUAAGCUGCUUUUUAUAAUAUUUUGUGAGUUCAUUAAUCAUAUUUUUUAUUUAAAACUAAAAUUUGUUAAUAAUGCUCAGUAAUGCAUAUAUUUUGUAUUUUUAGCUUUCCAGAAGAUCCUGCGAAGAAGGCAUGAAGUAUUGAUCAGAUUUGUUAAUAGAGCAGUAUGUUCAAAACAUUUUUUAGAAAAAGAUAUUGACAGAACUUCACUUUCAACUGUUCGUUUGAGAGACCGUGCUGUUCCAAUAGCUUAUAUCACACAGAAUCAGCUGAGAGAAGUGGUCUACAAAAAACCAGGAAGGAAAUGGAAUAUGUGGCUAUGAAAGGCAAAAGAAAGGUUUACAAAGCAAAUGUGACACAUUUUUUUAUAGGAAUAUCAGUAAAUUACAUUAAAAAAAUGUAUGAAAAAAUUUUUUGCAAUAAAAAUGUUUAUAUUUA
Molecule: long non-coding RNA, 2304 nt
Filed under: Diabrotica virgifera virgifera (western corn rootworm)
Lineage: Eukaryota; Metazoa; Arthropoda; Insecta; Coleoptera; Chrysomelidae
Description: uncharacterized LOC126880130
Source: RNAcentral